RNAcentral lists this non-coding RNA (29 nucleotides) under Mus musculus (house mouse). Lineage: Eukaryota; Metazoa; Chordata; Mammalia; Rodentia; Muridae. The record is from RNAcentral.
UUGUCUAUGGAGAUGAUGAGGUUACUUUG